This 123-nucleotide ribosomal RNA is filed under the name uncultured bacterium. Its description in RNAcentral is "partial 16S ribosomal RNA". It matches the Rfam family "Bacterial small subunit ribosomal RNA", at positions 1360 to 1482 of the family's 1533-position model. The record is from RNAcentral.
CGGUGAAUACGUUCCCGGGCCUUGUACACACCGCCCGUCACACCACGAAAGUCGGCAACACCCGAAACCGGUGGCCCAACCUUAGGGAGGGAGCCGUCGAAGGUGGGGUUGGCGAUUGGGGUG